RNAcentral lists this ribosomal RNA (253 nucleotides) under uncultured bacterium. Its description in RNAcentral is "partial 16S ribosomal RNA". It matches the Rfam family "Bacterial small subunit ribosomal RNA", at positions 524 to 776 of the family's 1533-position model. The record is from RNAcentral.
UACAGAGGUCUCAAGCGUUGUUCGGAUUCAUUGGGCGUAAAGGGUGCGUAGGUGGCGCCGUAAGUCGGGCGUGAAAUUUCGGAGCUUAACUCCGAAACUGCAUUCGAUACUGCGGUGCUUGAGGACUGGAGAGGAGACUGGAAUUCAUGGUGUAGCAGUGAAAUGCGUAGAGAUCAUGAGGAAGACCAGUGGCGAAGGCGGGUCUCUGGACAGUUCCUGACACUGAGGCACGAAGGCCAGGGGAGCAAACGGG